Molecule: ribosomal RNA, 276 nt
Filed under: uncultured prokaryote
Description: partial 16S ribosomal RNA
Rfam family: Bacterial small subunit ribosomal RNA
Source: RNAcentral
UACGUAGGGGCGAGCGUUGUCCGGAAUGACUGGGCGUAAAGGGCGUGUAGGCGGUCGAAUAAAGUCUGGAGUGAAAGUCCUGCUUUUAAGGUGGGAAUUGCUUUGGAUACUGUUAGACUUGAGUGCGGAAGAGGUAAGUGGAAUUCCCAGUGUAGCGGUGAAAUGCGUAGAGAUUGGGAGGAACACCAGUGGCGAAGGCGGCUUUCUGGCCAGUUACUGACGCUCAUGCGCGAAAAGCUGGGGUAGCGAACCGGAUUAGAUAUCCGCGUAGUCCCU